This 1501-nucleotide ribosomal RNA is filed under the name uncultured Pseudomonas sp. RNAcentral's name for it is "bacterial SSU rRNA". It matches the Rfam family "Bacterial small subunit ribosomal RNA". The record is from RNAcentral. Lineage: Bacteria; Pseudomonadati; Pseudomonadota; Gammaproteobacteria; Pseudomonadales; Pseudomonadaceae.
AGUUUGAUCAUGGCUCAGAUUGAACGCUGGCGGCAGGCCUAACACAUGCAAGUCGAGCGGUAGAGAGAAGCUUGCUUCUCUUGAGAGCGGCGGACGGGUGAGUAAUGCCUAGGAAUCUGCCUGGUAGUGGGGGAUAACGUUCGGAAACGGACGCUAAUACCGCAUACGUCCUACGGGAGAAAGCAGGGGACCUUCGGGCCUUGCGCUAUCAGAUGAGCCUAGGUCGGAUUAGCUAGUUGGUGAGGUAAUGGCUCACCAAGGCGACGAUCCGUAACUGGUCUGAGAGGAUGAUCAGUCACACUGGAACUGAGACACGGUCCAGACUCCUACGGGAGGCAGCAGUGGGGAAUAUUGGACAAUGGGCGAAAGCCUGAUCCAGCCAUGCCGCGUGUGUGAAGAAGGUCUUCGGAUUGUAAAGCACUUUAAGUUGGGAGGAAGGGUUGUAGAUUAAUACUCUGCAAUUUUGACGUUACCGACAGAAUAAGCACCGGCUAACUCUGUGCCAGCAGCCGCGGUAAUACAGAGGGUGCAAGCGUUAAUCGGAAUUACUGGGCGUAAAGCGCGCGUAGGUGGUUUGUUAAGUUGGAUGUGAAAUCCCCGGGCUCAACCUGGGAACUGCAUUCAAAACUGACUGACUAGAGUAUGGUAGAGGGUGGUGGAAUUUCCUGUGUAGCGGUGAAAUGCGUAGAUAUAGGAAGGAACACCAGUGGCGAAGGCGACCACCUGGACUAAUACUGACACUGAGGUGCGAAAGCGUGGGGAGCAAACAGGAUUAGAUACCCUGGUAGUCCACGCCGUAAACGAUGUCAACUAGCCGUUGGAAGCCUUGAGCUUUUAGUGGCGCAGCUAACGCAUUAAGUUGACCGCCUGGGGAGUACGGCCGCAAGGUUAAAACUCAAAUGAAUUGACGGGGGCCCGCACAAGCGGUGGAGCGUGUGGUUUAAUUCGAAGCAACGCGAAGAACCUUACCAGGCCUUGACAUCCAAUGAACUUUCUAGAGAUAGAUUGGUGCCUUCGGGAACAUUGAGACAGGUGCUGCAUGGCUGUCGUCAGCUCGUGUCGUGAGAUGUUGGGUUAAGUCCCGUAACGAGCGCAACCCUUGUCCUUAGUUACCAGCACGUUAUGGUGGGCACUCUAAGGAGACUGCCGGUGACAAACCGGAGGAAGGUGGGGAUGACGUCAAGUCAUCAUGGCCCUUACGGCCUGGGCUACACACGUGCUACAAUGGUCGGUACAGAGGGUUGCCAAGCCGCGAGGUGGAGCUAAUCCCAUAAAACCGAUCGUAGUCCGGAUCGCAGUCUGCAACUCGACUGCGUGAAGUCGGAAUCGCUAGUAAUCGCGAAUCAGAAUGUCGCGGUGAAUACGUUCCCGGGCCUUGUACACACCGCCCGUCACACCAUGGGAGUGGGUUGCACCAGAAGUAGCUAGUCUAACCUUCGGGAGGACGGUUACCACGGUGUGAUUCAUGACUGGGGUGAAGUCGUAACAAGGUAGCCGUAGG